UGCCAGCCGCCGCGGUAAUACGAAGGUCCCGAGCGUUAUUCGGAAUCACUGGGCGUAAAGGGAGCGUAGGCGGCGUGGUAAGUCAGAUGUGAAAUCUGGGGGCUCAACCUCCAAACUGCAUUCGAUACUGCCGUGCUAGAGUAAUGGAGAGGUAACUGGAAUUCUCAGUGUAGCAGUGAAAUGCGUGGAUAUUGAGAGGAAGACCAAUGGCGAAAGCAGGUUACUGGACAUUUACUGACGCUGAGGCUCGAAGGCUAGGGUAGCGAAAGGGAUUAGAUA
This 279-nucleotide ribosomal RNA is filed under the name uncultured bacterium. RNAcentral's name for it is "partial 16S ribosomal RNA". It matches the Rfam family "Bacterial small subunit ribosomal RNA", at positions 506 to 784 of the family's 1533-position model. The record is from RNAcentral.